CACCUCGAUGUCGGCUCAUCACAUCCUGGGGCUGAAGUAGGUCCCAAGGGUAUGGCUGUUCGCCAUUUAAAGUGGUACGCGAGCUGGGUUUAGAACGUCGUGAGACAGUUCGGUCCCUAUCUGCCGUGGGCGCUGGAGAAUUGAGGGGGGCUGCUCCUAGUACGAGAGGACCGGAGUGGACGCAUCACUGGUGUUCGGGUUGUCAUGCCAAUGGCAUUGCCCGGUAGCUAAAUGCGGAAGAGAUAAGUGCUGAAAGCAUCUAAGCACGAAACUUGCCCCGAGAUGAGUUCUCCCUGACYCUUWAAGRGUCCUGAAGGAACGUUGAAGACGACGACGUUGAUAGGCCGGGUGUGUAAGCGCAGCGAUGCGUUGAGCUAACCGGUACUAAUGAACCGUGAGGCUUAACCUUACAACGCCGAAG
RNAcentral lists this ribosomal RNA (421 nucleotides) under Citrobacter amalonaticus. Its description in RNAcentral is "bacterial LSU rRNA". It matches the Rfam family "Bacterial large subunit ribosomal RNA", at positions 2522 to 2925 of the family's 2925-position model. Lineage: Bacteria; Pseudomonadati; Pseudomonadota; Gammaproteobacteria; Enterobacterales; Enterobacteriaceae. The record is from RNAcentral.